This 429-nucleotide ribosomal RNA is filed under the name Triticum aestivum (bread wheat). RNAcentral's name for it is "partial small subunit ribosomal RNA". Lineage: Eukaryota; Viridiplantae; Streptophyta; Magnoliopsida; Poales; Poaceae. The record is from RNAcentral.
AUGCUUCUAUCUAGCAUUUGGCUUCUGUUUCUCGAUUUCUUGGACAAUGUUUUUCUCUCUUUUGAGAAUCAUCAAAUUUCACAAAGGUUGCUUGUGUUGUCAAAUAUGAACUAUUUAUUAGGAUCCAUUUCUGUACUACUAAUGUCUAUUGCCUUCUCCAUGCAUCCAGCAGUGUACAGGACGUCCUCCUCCUCAAAGCGUCCAUCCAUGACGAGCUCCCUUCGCUGCAGGAGGAGCAGCAAGUCCAGCACCUGCUUGUCUCCUGUGUCCUAUAGCGCGUGGACAAGCUCACCAAUGGAUGCGUCUUCCUUCCCUCCUACCGUGGUGAGCUUAUCCCCUCUCCCCACUUUAACCCUAAAUCUGGAUGACACUUGCAAUCUGAAUACAAAUCAUGUUUUGCUUCAGUUUAGAGGUGGAUUCAGUUUCUGA